GAGCUAAUACAUGCCAACACGCUCGACUUCUGGAAGGGAUGUAUUUAUUAGAUUAAAAACCAAUGCGGAUCCUCGUGGUCCGUCUACUUGGUGAUUCAUGAUAACUUUUCGAAUCGCAUGGCCUAGCGCCGGCGAUGUUUCAUUCAAAUUUCUGCCCUAUCAACUGUCGAUGGUAAGGUAGUGGCUUACCAUGGUUGUAACGGGUGACGGAGAAUUAGGGUUCGAUUCCGGAGAGGGAGCCUGAGAAACGGCUACCACAUCUAAGGAAGGCAGCAGGCACGAAAAUUACCCAAUCCCGACUCGGGGAGGUAGUGACAAGAAAUAACGAUACGGGGUCUUAAUAGGUCUCGCAAUUGGAAUGAGUACAAUUUAAAUCCUUUAACGAGGAUCAAUUGGAGGGCAAGUCUGGUGCCAGCAGCCGCGGUAAUUCCAGCUCCAAUAGCGUAUAUUAAAGUUGUUGCAGUUAAAAAGCUCGUAGUUGGAUUUCGGGACGGGCCAGUUGGUCCGCCGCAAGGUGUGUUACUGACUGGUCUGUUCUUCUUCGCAAAGACUUCGUAUGCUCUUCGUUGAGUGUGCGUAGGAUUUACGACGUUUACUUUGAAAAAAUUAGAGUGUUCAAAGCAGGCUAUCGCUUGAAUACAUGAGCAUGGAAUAAUGGAAUAGGACUUUGGUCCUAUUUUGUUGGUUUCUAGGACCGAAGUAAUGAUUAAGAGGGACAGUUGGGGGCAUCCGUAUUUCGUUGUCAGAGGUGAAAUUCUUGGAUUUACGAAAGACAGACUACA
RNAcentral lists this ribosomal RNA (782 nucleotides) under uncultured marine eukaryote. RNAcentral's name for it is "SSU rRNA". It matches the Rfam family "Eukaryotic small subunit ribosomal RNA", at positions 161 to 944 of the family's 1831-position model. The record is from RNAcentral.